CGAACGCUGGCGGCAUGCCCUAACACAUGCAAGUCGAACGAGACCUUCGGGUCUAGUGGCGCACGGGUGCGUAACGCGUGGGAACCUGCCUUAGGUUCGGAAUAACAGUGAGAAAUUACUGCUAAUACCGGAUGAUGUCUUCGGACCAAAGAUUUAUCGCCUUUAGAUGGGCCCGCGUUGGAUUAGGUAGUUGGUGGGGUAAAGGCCUACCAAGCCGACGAUCCUUAGCUGGUCUGAGAGGAUGAUCAGCCACACUGGGACUGAGACACGGCCCAGACUCCUACGGGAGGCAGCAGUGGGGAAUAUUGGACAAUGGGCGAAAGCCUGAUCCAGCAAUGCCGCGUGAGUGAUGAAGGCCUUAGGGUUGUAAAGCUCUUCUACCCGGGAUGAUAAUGACAGUACCGGGAGAAUAAGCCCCGGCUAACUCCGUG
Molecule: ribosomal RNA, 431 nt
Filed under: uncultured bacterium
Lineage: Bacteria
Description: bacterial SSU rRNA
Rfam family: Bacterial small subunit ribosomal RNA
Source: RNAcentral